AGAGUUUGAUCCUGGCUCAGAACGAACGCUGGCGGCGUGCUUAACACAUGCAAGUCGAACGAGAAAGUUUCCUUCGGGAAAUGAGUAGAGUGGCGCACGGGUGAGUAACGCGUAGGUAAUCUACCUUCGAAUUGGGGAUAACGUUGCGAAAGCGACGCUAAUACCGAAUAACAUCCAUUAAUCUUCGGGUUUUUGGAUCAAGGGUGGCCUCUACAUGUAAGCUACUGUUUGAAGAUGAGCCCGCGUACCAUUAGCUUGUUGGUGGGGUAAUGGCCUACCAAGGCUUCGAUGGUUAGCUGGUCUGAGAGGAUGAUCAGCCACACUGGAACUGACACACGGUCCAGACUCCUACGGGAGGCAGCAGUGAGGAAUUUUGCGCAAUGGGGGAAACCCUGACGCAGCGACGCCGCGUGAGUGAGGAAGGCCUUCGGGUCGUAAAGCUCUGUCAGAUGGGAAGAAGUGUAUUGCGGUUAAUACCCGUAGUAUUUGACGGUACCAUCAGAGGAAGCACCGGCUAACUCCGUGCCAGCAGCCGCGGUAAUACGGAGGGUGCAAGCGUUGUUCGGAAUCACUGGGCGUAAAGGGCGCGCAGGCGGCUUUUUAAGUCAGAUGUGAAAUCCCACGGCUCAACCGUGGAAGUGCAUUUGAAACUGGGGGGCUUGAGUACCAGAGGGGAAGGUGGAAUUCCUGGUGUAGCGGUGAAAUGCGUAGAUAUCAGGAGGAACACCGGUGGCGAAGGCGACUUCCUGGACCAAUACUGACGCUGAGGCGCGAAGGCGUGGGGAGCAAACAGGAUUAGAUACCCUGGUAGUCCACGCAGUAAACGGUGAACACUAGGUGUAGCGGGUAUUGACCCCUGCUGUGCCGCAGCAAACGCAUUAAGUGUUCCGCCUGGGGAGUACGACCGCAAGGUUAAAACUCAAAGGAAUUGACGG
Molecule: ribosomal RNA, 935 nt
Filed under: uncultured bacterium
Lineage: Bacteria
Description: bacterial SSU rRNA
Rfam family: Bacterial small subunit ribosomal RNA
Source: RNAcentral